AAUAAGCGGAGGAAAAGAAACCAACAGGGAUUCCCUUAGUAGCGGCGAGCGAACAGGGAAGAGUCCAGCGCCGAAUUCCGCGCCUGUCACGGGUGUCUGGAAAAUGUGGCGUUUAGGAGGGAGCGUGCCGGUGGUUGACUUUGCAGCAAGUCCCCCUGACCGGGGCUGUUUCCCAUAGUGGGUGCGAGGCCCAUAGCUGCUCGGUCUCCUCCGGAUGCGACCUCUUGGGAGUCGGGUUACUUGAGAGUGUAGCCCUAAUCGGGUGGUAAACUCCACCUAAGACUAAAUACGGCCGUGAGACCGAUAGCAAACAAGUACCGUGAGGGAAAGUUGCAAAGAACUUUGAAGAGAGAGUUCAAGAGUACGUGAAACUGCUCAGAGGUAAACGGGUGGGCCCUCGAAAUCCUGUGGCGGGAGGGUUCAGUCGGAAUAGGCGGAUGUGUGCUCCGGAGGUUUUGUAUACGGAUCCACGUGCGGACCGGUUCCGUGUAGCACUGUUUCUGCUUUCGAACGACGCAAUUCCUUCCGCCCGUAUGGACGUCGCAGCCAGUUGGGUAGGUGCGCGAGACGGCCUUAAGGGCGGACGACGGCAGGUGACCGGUGGCGGGACGCAUGAGUCUUUUCGCCGGUUGUUAGCCAGUCUGCCAGUGGCUCGUCACCCGACUGAGGUUCUUACGGGGCCCGUUCAUGGGUCCUUAGCCACGUCUCCUCCCUCCCGUGUGGGGGCAGCG
Molecule: ribosomal RNA, 731 nt
Filed under: Mesarchaea bellavista
Lineage: Eukaryota; Metazoa; Arthropoda; Arachnida; Araneae; Mecysmaucheniidae
Description: eukaryotic LSU rRNA
Rfam family: Eukaryotic large subunit ribosomal RNA
Source: RNAcentral